RNAcentral lists this ribosomal RNA (577 nucleotides) under Aspergillus deflectus. Its description in RNAcentral is "eukaryotic LSU rRNA". The stretch from base 196 to 349 matches the Rfam family "5.8S ribosomal RNA". The record is from RNAcentral. Lineage: Eukaryota; Fungi; Ascomycota; Eurotiomycetes; Eurotiales; Aspergillaceae.
UCCGUAGGUGAACCUGCGGAAGGAUCAUUACCGAGUGCGGGUCUGCCCUCCGGGGCGCCCAACCUCCCCCCCGUGAAUACGUGACCCUGUUGCUUCGGCGGGGUGUCCUCCCCUUCCCGGGGGGGCCGCCGCCGGGGACCAUUUAAACCCGAACCGAGUAUGUUGCAGUCUGAGCUCGAGUGAGAAAUCAGUCAAAACUUUCAACAAUGGAUCUCUUGGUUCCGGCAUCGAUGAAGAACGCAGCGAACUGCGAUAAGUAAUGUGAAUUGCAGAAUUCAGUGAAUCAUCGAGUCUUUGAACGCACAUUGCGCCCCCUGGCACUCCGGGGGGCAUGCCUGUCCGAGCGUCAUUGCUGCCAUUCAAGCCCGGCUUGUGUGUUGGGCCGUCGUCCCCCUCCCGGGGGGACGGGCCCGAAAGGCAGCGGCGGCACCGUGUCCGGUCCUCGAGCGUAUGGGGCAUCGUCACCCGCUCGAUCAGGACCGGCCCGGCGCCCGCCGGCGUCCCCAACCAUUCUUCAGGUUGACCUCGGAUCAGGUAGGGAUACCCGCUGAACUUAAGCAUAUCAAUAAGCGGAGGA